This 461-nucleotide long non-coding RNA is filed under the name Bos indicus x Bos taurus (hybrid cattle). RNAcentral describes it as "lncRNA (ENSBIXG00000028561.1)". The record is from RNAcentral. Lineage: Eukaryota; Metazoa; Chordata; Mammalia; Artiodactyla; Bovidae.
UUAUAAUUUUACUUACAUUAUGUUAUGUACUUUAAUCCUUUGAACUUUAAGAAACAGAAAAUUAAGUAUCUCUCCGAUUGUGCAUAAAGGAAAAUAUAUCUUGCCUCAUAUUUUGAUAAUACUUUUAUGUAACUGAUCUCAUUUAAAUCAUAUAACAACCCACUGUGGCCAAUUACAGGUCUUACCCCAACUUUACCGCUCUGAACACUGAGCCUCGGGACAUGGCUUUGAUGUGAUUUACAAGGUGGACCUGAAGUUCAUUUUCCAUUGCCACAGCGACAGGAAGGAAAGCUGAAACCAGGAGUGCCGGCGGGAGAGCUGCAGGGCAGGACGCAAUGCCAUCAAGUGACUGGAGUCUCGUUAUUAGGAAAUGUGGAAAGGUUACUGAAACUGGUAAGCAGGCCACAGGAACUGAAUACUCCCAGGGAUGAGGGAGGCACUGGUGAACACUGAACCCUUUU